AAAAGAACUCUGAAGAGAGAGUUCAAUAGUACGUGAAACCAUAAUGAGUAAAACGGAUAACUGUACUGUUUUAGCGUUUUGCUUUUCAACAGUUUGUAGUGAUAUUCGACAGUGCGAGAAUUAGCUGUUUCUCAGCAAAAUUCGCGUAGGUAGAAUGUUGUCAUCAGCUGUGAUUUAGUGCAAUUCCUAUCAUUAAAAAGCUUUACGGUCCUGGCAGAGGUGUGCUGCAGUUCGCACUACGUGUGAAGUAACAUGCUGUGCUAUGUGGUUGUUGAGUUUGGCUGAGAUUACUUUAGUCCGAAAUGUUUAAAGCUUUUGUUACAUGUAUGUCUAGCAGACUUGUUUAUUCUGGUUUGUGGCGCUCAUGUGGUAAUUGUUUGCGUUUCAUGUUUAAUGAUCAAGUACUAGUUAUUCGACCCGUCUUGAAACACGGACCAAGGAGUUCAAAUGGCACGCGAGUCAUUGGGUGUAAAAAUCCAAAGGCGAAGUGAAAUGCGAGCGUAUUGUUAUUUGUGGUAUCCAUGAAAAAAUGAUAAGCUACUGAUGCUAUCAGGCAUUUGUAGACUACAAGCGUGUCGUUUGAGACCCGAAAA
This 593-nucleotide ribosomal RNA is filed under the name Poecilochirus carabi sensu lato. RNAcentral's name for it is "partial large subunit ribosomal RNA". It matches the Rfam family "Eukaryotic large subunit ribosomal RNA", at positions 367 to 822 of the family's 3401-position model. Lineage: Eukaryota; Metazoa; Arthropoda; Arachnida; Mesostigmata; Parasitidae. The record is from RNAcentral.